RNAcentral lists this ribosomal RNA (568 nucleotides) under uncultured bacterium. RNAcentral's name for it is "bacterial SSU rRNA". It matches the Rfam family "Bacterial small subunit ribosomal RNA", at positions 338 to 916 of the family's 1533-position model. The record is from RNAcentral.
CCUACGGGAGGCAGCAGUGGGGAAUAUUGCACAAUGGGCGAAAGCCUGAUGCAGCGACGCCGCGUGAGGGAUGACGGCCUUCGGGUUGUAAAUCUCUUUCAGCAGGGACGAAGCGCGAGUGACGGUACCUGCAGAAGAAGCGCCGGCCAACUACGUGCCAGCAGCCGCGGUAAGACGUAGGGCGCGAGCGUUGUCCGGAUUUAUUGGGCGUAAAGAGCUCGUAGGCGGCUCGUCGCGUCAACCGUGAAAACCCGGGGCUUAACUUCGGGCUUGCGGUUGAUACGGGCGGGCUGGAGUUCGGUAGGGGAGACUGGAAUUCCUGGUGUAGCGGUGAAAUGCGCAGAUAUCAGGAGGAACACCGGUGGCGAAGGCGGGUCUCUGGGCCGAUACUGACGCUGAGGAGCGAAAGCGUGGGGAGCGAACAGGAUUAGAUACCCUGGUAGUCCACGCUGUAAACGUUGGGCGCUAGGUGUGGGGGGCCUCUCCGGUUUCCUGUGCCGUAGCUAACGCAUUAAGCGCCCCGCCUGGGGAGUACGGCCGCAAGGCUAAAACUCAAAGGAAUUGACGG